Helicobacter suis HS5 is the source of this 72-nucleotide transfer RNA. It matches the Rfam family "tRNA". Rfam says of the family: Transfer RNA (tRNA) molecules are approximately 80 nucleotides in length. Their secondary structure includes four short double-helical elements and three loops (D, anti-codon, and T loops). The record is from Rfam. Lineage: Bacteria; Pseudomonadati; Campylobacterota; Epsilonproteobacteria; Campylobacterales; Helicobacteraceae.
GCCCAUAUAGCUCAGGGGUAGAGCACUUCCUUGGUAAGGAAGAGGUCGGCGGUUCAAUCCCGCUUAUGGGCU